Molecule: ribosomal RNA, 797 nt
Filed under: uncultured Proteiniphilum sp.
Lineage: Bacteria; Pseudomonadati; Bacteroidota; Bacteroidia; Bacteroidales; Dysgonomonadaceae
Description: bacterial SSU rRNA
Rfam family: Bacterial small subunit ribosomal RNA
Source: RNAcentral
AGAGUUUGAUUCUGGCUCAGGAUGAACGCUAGCGAUAGGCUAACACAUGCAAGUCGAGGGGCAGCACACGAAGUAGCAAUACGGAUGGUGGCGACCGGCGCACGGGUGAGUAACGCGUAUGCAACCUGCCUACAACAGGGGAAUAACCCGUUGAAAGACGGACUAAUACCCCAUAACACAGGGAUCCCGCAUGGGAAUAUUUGUUAAAGAUUUAUCGGUUGUAGAUGGGCAUGCGUUCCAUUAGCUGGUUGGUGAGGUAACGGCUCACCAAGGCAACGAUGGACAGGGGAACUGAGAGGUUUAUCCCCCACACUGGUACUGAGACACGGACCAGACUCCUACGGGAGGCAGCAGUGAGGAAUAUUGGUCAAUGGACGCAAGUCUGAACCAGCCACGUCGCGUGAAGGAAGACGGCCCUACGGGUUGUAAACUUCUUUUGUAAGGGAAUAAAGUGCAGUACGUGUACUGUUUUGCAUGUACCUUACGAAUAAGGAUCGGCUAACUCCGUGCCAGCAGCCGCGGUAAUACGGAGGAUCCGAGCGUUAUCCGGAUUUAUUGGGUUUAAAGGGUGCGCAGGCGGGAGAUUAAGUCGGCGGUGAAAUUUUGCAGCUCAACUGUAAAAGUGCCUUCGAAACUGGUUUUCUUGAGUGUGGAUGAAGUAGGCGGAAUUUGUGGUGUAGCGGUGAAAUGCAUAGAUAUCACGAGGAACUCCGAUUGCGCAGGCAGCUUAUUAAACCAUGACUGACGCUCAGGCACGAAGGCGUGGGGAUCAAACAGGAUUAGAUACCCUGGUAGUC